CGAAACAUGGAAAAAAAAUAUUUAUUAUUUAAACCGAAGGUAUUUGGUCAUCUACAAGCCAACAUGGGAUGUGAAUUCACGAUUGAUGGAAGUGUACACACAAAAACCUUCAGAUAUAGUAAACUAAAAAUAGAUAUCUAUUGAGCGGAGCGAAUUCCCUGAUAUUGAAAUUAAUUCAUGUUGAGCAAUGACUGAAAGUAGCUAGGGUACACGUUCAAGUACACUGAUUAACACCAACAUUGGCCAAUGCUUUCACUCUAUUGCAAACAUACAGUCUGCACGCCGUUUCUUUCUCUUGUGCUUUUCAUGUCUCACUCUUUUUUUAAUGACAUUCUCAUUUAGUGAAGUAGUAUUUGGGAAUUUUCCUUUCCCCCAAAUCCGGUACAUUUCUAAUAACGGUGAAUAAAUAUUAUCACAAUUCAUUUUCAUAUGGUGAAACAUACAUUAGAUUUUUGCUGAAAAUUUCAAUGAAUCUGAAAAACUAUAGUACAAAAAAGGUUACAAAACAGAGAAACCAUAAAUUAGAAUACCUCAGGUUGUGGCACACAAAGGACACAGUAUAUACAAACAUAAAGCACUUGAGAAAAGAAUGAAGGGUUAACAGCACAGACAAAAGCAGCUUCGUAAUUUUACCAGUUGGGUUUGAGGCCAGAGAAUCUACGUUCUCAUCAAUACUUGUAUUAGUUUAAAGCCCAAUAUCUGAACCAGACCACAAUCAUUAGUAACAUCUUGAAUAUUCAACAGUGGCAGGUUCAAGCUGUAUUCAUUGAAAACAUAAAAUAUUUGAUAAAUUAAGGGAUUUAUUUGGAUUUAAUUUGUUUACCAAUGAUACUGAGAGAAAAAUAAAAUGUUCUACAGCUUGUUAAAAUGCUUAAAAUAUUCUAGUUAAUUUUUAUUUUAUACGUUUUAUUUCUUAUACGUUUUUUAUACGUCUUAUAUAUAUUUCUCAUAUAGCAAAUUAGCUUUAAUAUUUGAAAACAGUGCAAUAACAUACAAACAGUAUGCUCAAAAUGAUGGAAAGUAUGCCUAUUAACCUGAGCAAAAUAUCUUAAAGCUGUAACAGUAAGAUGUCACCCAGUUUUGUCAAAGGCAAUCGCUCUAGCUUUUGUUUUGAUUUGUCCAGGUAUCUUCAAAACCCAAAAGGUAUUUAAAAGAUCUAAGACAACAUUUUCUAAUUAUUAACAUUUUUCUAAGGUUAUUAUCUCUUAAUAGGGCAGUUUCCCUGGCAUAGAUUAAGCCUAGUCCAAGAUAAAAAAUUUAUCCCGAUGGAAAAUAUCCGUUGAGCUUGAAUUUUAGUCCAGGAAUAGGCUUAAUCUGUGACUGAGAAUCUAUUGGAGAAUGUGCUAUGUUCAUAACAUUUUUACAGAAAUACUGAAGUUUGGGUUUGCCUCGUGACCAUAUAGAAUGCUUUAUAAAUUUUGUUUCCACACCAGUAACUAGCGCAUGACCACCAGUACGUUGCGCUUGACCACCAGUACCUAGCACUUGACCACCACUGCCUAGCGCUUGACCACCACUGCCUAGCGCUUGACCACCACUGCCUAGCAGUGGAGAGCACUAGUACCUAGUAGUGUACCACAUAGCUAAAUGUUUUUACAUUCUACUUACUGCACAGCAUAUAUCCCAGGCCUCUUCAAAUCAAGUUCACCGAAACAGUUACAGCAGAAUCAUGUCAAGUGAAAUGCCAGUUAACACCAAUUGAACAUACAUUUUUGCUCAACUGAUAACAACUAUCACAAAAAUAAGGGAAAAGGAAUGAGAACUGGAACGAUGUAAACAGCAAACAUCACAUUUCCUACUGAAUUGGCAUUCUGAAGAAAAGAAAAAAAAAAAAAGACUUGUCGUCAUUGGAAAAAAUAUAAUCAUUCCAUAUAAGCUACAGACAUUUUGGCACCAAAGGGCCAUAUCAAGCCACUUUUAACAAGCACGGUCAUAAUCCUGACCACCACGCCAGACCUGGCCCCCUCAGAAAAAGAAAUGUAAAUUCUGUUAAUGAAAAAAUCCCCCACAAAAUCCUUUUGUACUUGCAGGUUCCAGACCUUCAGACACUGACCUGACCACAACAGCAAAAAAAAAGAAAAAUCACAGAAGAGAAUAAGCGUUUUACACAUUUGCACUUGCAGAGAUGAGGAGCAUGCUUUUGCAUCAUCCAGUCCUCGGGAUGGUGACGUGCACUAAAACUGAAGCGCGGCAAUCCUUUGUCUGUCAUCCUCCGAGCGGACAGGUGGACAAGCAGAGGGGAGCAGCCCCGUUCCAACGAAGUGCAGAAAAGAUCCAUGUAUUUGCCGAACAAGGCAAGUUGUGGGGUGGGACGGAGAGGACAGGACAACUAGUGAGCCUAGGCGGGCAAACGACAGACCAGAACGAAGGAGGAUGAUGAGAGGGGGAGAACAUGGCCUCCUUGGUCCAACACAGGAGCGGGAGGAUGAGGAAUGCAGUCACUGAAGGCAGGCAUGACCGGGAUGAGAAAACCUUGACUCGGGAGAAACCUGGGAGGACGACAAACAAG
This is a long non-coding RNA of Esox lucius (northern pike), 2509 nucleotides long. The record is from Ensembl. NCBI's taxonomy places the organism in Eukaryota, Metazoa, Chordata, Actinopteri, Esociformes, Esocidae.